GGUCACGAGUACCAGCAUCAAGCCCCGGCUCGCUGGUCGGCAACCCUCCUCCGCGGUGGGGUGCUCCGGGUGACGACCUGGCCGUAGUCCGACCGGACACGGCAAGCGCGGACU
This 114-nucleotide non-coding RNA is filed under the name Rhodococcus rhodnii. Its description in RNAcentral is "SAM-IV sequence". It matches the Rfam family "SAM (S-adenosyl methionine) riboswitch aptamer". From Rfam's summary of the family: SAM-IV is a mRNA element that regulates gene expression via direct sensing of S-adenosylmethionine (SAM or AdoMet). The record is from RNAcentral. Lineage: Bacteria; Bacillati; Actinomycetota; Actinomycetes; Mycobacteriales; Nocardiaceae. RNAcentral also lists the same sequence under 1 other name.